AUUGCCAAGGAUAGAAGUUCCAAUUGUGUGAAUGGCCAGAUGGAGUCCCCAGCUCCAAUAUCCCCAUCUUUGGGCCCUGGAAACUAUAGGGGCCCACUUGCAGUUGCCUUGGGGCAAAAAUUGCAAAAUGGAUUAAGUUCUUCACAAGCCUCGAGGUAUCAGAACUUUGCUGCAUCUGGAAAUAGCCCACUGCAGUCUGAAAUACCAUAUUAUGAUGUUUACUCUUCUGGAUCUGCUGAUAACACAGGGAUGUCAGCCAAUACGAAGAAGUAUCAUAGUUUGCCUGACAUUUCAGGGCUUUCUUCUGGUCCUUAUAGGGAUAUAUAUAUGUCUGAAAAGAGUACUCAGUGGGACAAUACAGUUGGAUUUGGAGCAACUGUUGGGAUAACAAGUUAUGAACCUUCCUUCUAUUCAAAUAGUGGAUCAGGAGUGCGAGGUUCUAUGGCUUUUGAUAAUGUAUCAAAAGGAUAU
This 471-nucleotide unclassified non-coding RNA is filed under the name Hevea brasiliensis (rubber tree). The record is from RNAcentral. Lineage: Eukaryota; Viridiplantae; Streptophyta; Magnoliopsida; Malpighiales; Euphorbiaceae.